This 253-nucleotide ribosomal RNA is filed under the name uncultured bacterium. RNAcentral describes it as "partial 16S ribosomal RNA". It matches the Rfam family "Bacterial small subunit ribosomal RNA", at positions 524 to 776 of the family's 1533-position model. The record is from RNAcentral.
UACGUAGGCAGCAAGCGUUGUUCGGAGUUACUGGGCGUAAAGGGUGCGUAGGCGGCCGUGUAAGUGUGGUGUGAAAUCUCCCGGCUUAACUGGGAGGGUGCGCUACAGACUGCAUGGCUAGAGUGUGGGAGAGGAAAGUGGAAUUCCUGGUGUAGCGGUGAAAUGCGUAGAUAUCAGGAGGAACACCUGUGGCGAAAGCGGCUCACUGGACCAUAACUGACGCUGAUGCACGAAAGCUAGGGGAGCAAACAGG